This is an RNA transcript of Scophthalmus maximus (turbot), 2741 nucleotides long. It is a transcript of the gene named nuclear transcription factor Y, gamma, with no coding region annotated. The record is from RefSeq and is a predicted model, not a curated record. Lineage: Eukaryota; Metazoa; Chordata; Actinopteri; Pleuronectiformes; Scophthalmidae. The transcript is spliced from 12 exons.
UGUACGUCAUCACGUACGUGCGUCCAACUCUUUCCGGUUCCAAUAGCAGCCAUCUUGUUUCCCCCUGCUAGUUAAAUAAAAUAAAUAAUAAGCCGAGUCGGACUUCACUUCGAACCCACUAAAGAAACAGAGUAGAAGAUGUCGGCAGAUGCGUUUGGAGCCGGGGGCAGCGAUGCUCAGCAAACCUUGCAGUCCUUCUGGCCUCGUGUCAUGGAGGAGAUCAGGAACCUCACUGUGAAGGAUUUCCGCGUGCAGGAGUUGCCUCUUGCUCGAAUCAAGAAAAUUAUGAAGCUGGAUGAGGAUGUCAAAAUGAUCAGUGCGGAGGCUCCAGUCCUGUUUGCCAAGGCAGCUCAGAUCUUCAUCACAGAGCUCACCCUCAGAGCAUGGAUCCACACUGAGGACAACAAGAGACGCACACUACAGAGGAACGACAUUGCCAUGGCAAUAACAAAGUUCGACCAGUUUGACUUCCUGAUUGACAUUGUGCCCCGGGACGACCUGAAGCCUCCUAAACGACAGGAGGAGAUGCGUCAGUCGGUAGCUCCAGCGGAGCCGGUGCAGUACUACUUCACCUUGGCCCAGCAGCCCGGAGCUGUACAGGUGCAGGGAACACAACAAGGCCAGCAACCCGGCACACAAACGGCCACAACCAUCCAGCCUGGACAGAUCAUCAUCGCACAGCCACAGCAGGGACAGAUGCUGCAAGGUGCCACCAUGCAACAGUUACAGCAGGUGCAGGUGCAGUCACAGGGCACACCCAUCACGAGUGCGCCAGUGGCCAUGCAGGUGGGUGAGGGCCAACAGGUACAGAUUGUCCAGGCAGCUCAGGGUCAGGCUCAGACAGGUCAAGCCCAGGGCCAGACCAUGCAGGUCAUGCAGCAGAUCAUCACCAACACAGGAGAGAUUCAGCAAAUCCCGGUGCAACUAAACACGGGCCAGCUACAAUACAUCCGUCUAGCCCAGCCUGUCUCCGGAGCACAAGUGGUCCAGGGACAGAUUCAGACUCUCGCCAACACCCAGCAGAUCACACAGGCUGAUGUACAGCAAGGACAGCAGCAAUUCAACCAGUUUACUGAUGGACAGCAGUUGUAUCAGAUUCAGCAGGUGACGAUGCCAGCGGGACAGGAGCUGACCCAACAAAUGUUUAUUCAGUCCACCAAUCAGACAACAGACGUGCAGGCCACGCAGGUCAGCACCGAAUGAGCCCAACCAGGAACCUUCACUACACACACACACUCACGUGUGCCCACAUGACGCCAUCAGUUGCCACCAAGUCCAACAAAGGAAGUUCAACUCCAAUGAUUUUAAGCACUGCUCAUUUAGACGGGGGACCUGUAAUCUUGUAACACUCAUUUUUUUAGGGUAAUAAAUUUUAGUACACUGGAUCAAAAACCAAAGGGACACUGACUCUUUCCCAAUCACAUGCUUCGAUAUGUUUACGAUUUUGUACUUCUGCCACCCACAUCUGUAAAGAAAUAUGCAUCAACUGCAACAGUGAACUGUCUCUCCACCAACCAACCCCAUUCUACUUGUCUUUCUGAACUUCAAAUACUUUAAAAAGAUAAGAAAGUUGUGAGCUUUAUUCUUGCCACCUUCCUUUUCUGCUACCCAUUUGGAAAUUAAUUGGGAAAUUGUCCGUCCCUUGUGUCCACGAUCUGGUGAUAUCUGUGAUGGAGGGAAGCCGUGUGAUUCAUCAUCCCUUCUUCAUCGUUUGUCAUGUAAUUGAUGAAUGAAAUGAAGCCAUAUACCUCAGAUAUCACUGUUUAACCGUAACUCAAUCUAAGGGAUCUAGAGAAGUUACAGGUUUAGUGAUGUCAUUUUCCACACUGAGGGAUGAAGCAUGACUUUUAUGUUGUAAGGGCUUCAAUCUGUAACUGUGUGUUUGUGUGUUGAGCACAGACCAGUUAUCUCUAUACUUCCAUUUUGUCUCUUUAUUCACUUUCUUUCUUCACCCCUCCGCCUUUGAGCAGCUCUUCUCUUCCUCUGUGCAGUCUCACACCACCUUGUCUACCCGGGUGGUUUAGGAGUCUUGUGCCCUGGGUUUCGUCUCAUGUACGAACACAUGACUCCACCUGGAGAAAAAAAACAACACCCCUUUUAUAGAACACUGCUUUUUUGUGUUUAAAAAAAAAUUCAAAUGUUUUUUCUUUUUGGGUUAGAAACAAUGUUUUGCCUUCCCCAUCAUUUUUGUACAGUAAUGAUUAUUAAUGUUCUUAUUGUUGUUUUUGCAUGUAGUUCCAACUGCCAGCAUGACAUGCAAUAGAUAGGGGACUUAAGCAACUUGCUAUGUGUGGACAGUAGACAGGGAGACAGGAGAGAAAUGCUACAGCACCAAGAGAUAAGACUUGAACCAGCCCAGUCAGCCCACGACUGUAUUUUCAGGUAGACACAUCUCUCCACCAGUGCCCAAAAUGUUGUAAGAGUUAUUAUUUUCCACUCUUACUUAUAGUAAAUGAAUGGGGUUUUGGGCUGUGGGUGAGAGAAAACACGGGCAGAGCUUCUUUGUUGUUACUCAGGUACCAUUUAAUGUCCUUCUCAAACUGCAGGACAACUGAACACUGCACAUUAACUGAAAUAUCACUCCAUGUAUCUUAGCAAUAAUUUGACAGGCAAGGUGCACCCUGUGACAUUGUUUCUGAUCUAAAUAAAUUAACGUAACACCAUAUAUGAUAAUUACUAAGGCUGUGUCAAUUCCAUAGUAAACCUCAGAAAUACAAAAAUAAAUCUCAUCUUACAAAUAA